RNAcentral lists this ribosomal RNA (254 nucleotides) under uncultured bacterium. RNAcentral's name for it is "partial 16S ribosomal RNA". It matches the Rfam family "Bacterial small subunit ribosomal RNA", at positions 524 to 777 of the family's 1533-position model. The record is from RNAcentral.
UACGAAGGGGGCUAGCGUUGUUCGGAAUUACUGGGCGUAAAGCGCACGUAGGCGGAUAUUUAAGUCAGGGGUGAAAUCCCAGAGCUCAACUCUGGAACUGCCUUUGAUACUGGGUAUCUUGAGUAUGGAAGAGGUGAGUGGAAUUCCGAGUGUAGAGGUGAAAUUCGUAGAUAUUAGGAAGAACACCAGUGGCGAAGGCGGCUCACUGGUCCGGUACUGACGCUGAGGUGCGAAAGCGUGGGGAGCAAACAGGG